This 1737-nucleotide long non-coding RNA is filed under the name Sus scrofa (pig). RNAcentral's name for it is "lncRNA (ENSSSCG00040001387.1)". The record is from RNAcentral. Lineage: Eukaryota; Metazoa; Chordata; Mammalia; Artiodactyla; Suidae.
GCCUUUUCUAGGGCCGCUCCCGCGGCAUAUGGAUGUUCCCAGGCUAGGGGUCCAAUCGGAGCUGUUAAAGAUAGAGAAAAGAAAAAGAAAACCCCAGAAGUUCGUGUUGUGGCUCAGCAGUAAUGAGCCUGAUUAGUAUCCAUGAGGAUGUGGGUUUGAUCCCUGGCCUCGCUCAGUGGGUUAAGGAUCUGGUGUUGCUGUGACCUGUGGUAUAGGUCGCAGAUGCAGCUCGGAUCCUGUGUUGCUGUGGCUGUGACGUAGGCUGCCAGUUGCAGCUCCAAUUCAACCCCUAGCCUGGGAAAUUUCAUGUGCUGUGGGUGUGGCCCUAAAAAGCAAAAAAAGAAAAGAAGAAAAGAAAGAAAAAAGCAAACCCCAAAAUGGUUGGUGGUAAAGAUGGAGAGAGUGGCUGUAGCAGGCAGGAGAAGCAGGACACAUCCUGAAUGUGCGGAAGGGUCCAAAGCUCAGAGUCAGGUGCAGCUGGAUGUAGCUGGAGGUAGUGUAACGAAAGCACUGCGUGACUAUGGGCGAGUCAUUCGACCCCUAGGAGCCUCGUCCUCUGCUGUCAAUGAACAGGAAAGCACCCAGCCGUGCCUUGCCCAUUGUCGGCACUCAGUAAUUGCAUCUGAAUCAACACUUGCUGGAAUCUAUGCACACUACACGAGACUGCUACAGACCCAGGAUUUGCGUGUGGGUCUCUAAGCUCAUUUCAUUAGCCAGCAGUACCUCAAAAACACCUUCUGUUUCUUUGCCAUUUUACUGGGAAGAAGAGCAUGCCUCCCUCCAACCUCAUCCAGAAUGAGUGGCAAAGAGCCCCAGGGAUGAAGUCAGGUUGCUGAUGCUGAGAUAUCACUGCCACCUGGUGGCAGCAUACCUAAAUCAGUGGGGGGGGGGGACUGGCAAAAAGGGAAAACUGCUAGUGCCUCACACUUGCCUAAGACACAAGUGAGUGCUUCCACCAUGAGAACAGAGGUCACCAUCUACCACCUGGCCACUCCCUGCUGCAUCCUCGAUACCCUGCUUUGAGUUUCCUGGAUGCUUGUUGGUUUCCUUUUUUUUUUUCGACUUAAGUGAUUAAAUGUAACAACUGUAAAUAAAGCAAAUGCCACCAAAAGGAAGUGCAGACGUCCAGGUCCUUAUGAGAACUGUUAGAAGCCCAGGGCUCCCUAACUGGGUACUUGCCCAACUGACUGUCUGAACCCCACAUGCAAUCCUUGCCAUCUGAGUUAGCACAUUUCAAACCUGUCCCUUUCCAAUCAUCCUUCCAGCCGUCGCGGUCUCCUGAAAUUCGGCUUUCAGUGCUCACCAUCACACUGCCCCCUUACAGCCGAAGAAUAUUCACACAUGGUAUAAGCACUGCCUCUGAGGUGCUCCCAAAGAUUCCAGGACAUGGCUGAAGAAACUGGGGGCCAGGGCAAGGGGGAAAGCAGAGUUCUGAGGAAUCAUGAAAGACCCCCCGCCUCUUCCUAGACCCUGAUCUUGGCCACCUUUUCAAAGGCGUCUCCCCAACCUGUCAGAUGGGCAGUAUGUCUCUAAGGACUUUCUGUCCCAUCCUGAGCUAAGAAAAAGCAAGGUCGGCACCUGAUGAGGACGCACAAGGAGAAACACAAGGAGGGCGGAGGAAGGAGAGUCGCCCGAUAGCUGCACCCAGGGCAGUGAACGGGCCUCUUCUUUUGGGGAGCCCUUAGCACCACACAGCACCCCAUAUUCCUCCCCUCUUCCUCUCCAGUGCUCUCCCAG